RNAcentral lists this ribosomal RNA (751 nucleotides) under uncultured Neomoorella sp. Its description in RNAcentral is "bacterial SSU rRNA". It matches the Rfam family "Bacterial small subunit ribosomal RNA", at positions 28 to 772 of the family's 1533-position model. The record is from RNAcentral. Lineage: Bacteria; Bacillati; Bacillota; Clostridia; Neomoorellales; Neomoorellaceae.
GACGAACGCUGGCGGCGUGCUUAAUACAUGCAAGUCGAGCGAGGUUACUGUUUUGGAUCCCUUCGGGGUGAAGAAGCUUUAACCUAGCGGCGGACGGGUGAGUAACGCGUGGGUAACCUACCCCAAAGUCCGGGAUAACAGCGGGAAACCGCUGCUAAUACCGGAUGCCUUUACCUUGGGGCAUCUUGAGGUAAAGAAAGGCAACGCUUUGGGAUGGGCCCGCGUCCCAUUAGCUAGUUGGUGAGGUAACGGCUCACCAAGGCGACGAUGGGUAGCCGGCCUGAGAGGGUGGACGGCCACACUGGGACUGAGACACGGCCCAGACUCCUACGGGAGGCAGCAGUAGGGAAUAUUGCGCAAUGGACGGAAGUCUGACGCAGCGACGCCGCGUGAGCGAUGAAGGUCUUCGGAUCGUAAAGCUCUGUCCUUGGGGAAGAAGGCGAAAGCUUGACGGUACCCAAGAAGAAAGCCCCGGCUAACUACGUGCCAGCAGCCGCGGUAAUACGUAGGGGGCGAGCGUUGUCCGGAAUUACUGGGCGUAAAGGGUGCGUAGGCGGCCCUUUAAGUCGGAUGUGAAAGCCCGCGGCUUAACCGCGGAAUGGCAUUCGAAACUGGAGGGCUUGAGUGUCGGAGAGGGUAGUGGAAUUCCCAGUGUAGCGGUGAAAUGCGUAGAUAUUGGGAGGAACACCAGUGGCGAAGGCGACUACCUGGACGAUAACUGACGCUGAGGCACGAAAGCUAGGGGAGCAAA